UGGAACCUUAAAAUUUGAUUCAAUUAAGCAACUUUGUGGUCUUCUAGCUCUCCCCAUGUGCACUACAUUGAAAGCCCCGAAAACGACGUGCAACAAAGGAGAUUGGCAGCCACGAAAAUAAUGAGUAGUAGAUACAAUGAAUGAAGGACGUCAGUCCAGCUGCAACAAAUGGAGGAUGGCGAUGGUGGUCCAACAACAAUGAACGAGGAUAUCAAUUCCAAUUUUAAAACAAACACAUAACAUGAUGGUGAUGGUUGUCCGACAUCAAUGUACUUUUUUUUGUCUAUCUUUAGAAACUCACAACGUUAAAAAAAACUCUUUAAAAGACCCAUCAAUUAAAAAAAAGAUGGGUAGAUUAUGGCUAAAGGUGGACGGUGUGUAGAACACGACUGAAGUAGAAGGCUGGCGGUACAGCCAUAACAAGAAAUCGAUAGUGGUACGAGUGGAGCGUAGAUCAAGGCAUCAUUUGCAUCAUCUCAAUGCAUGGAAUCAUCGAGUAAGUGGUACUUAGGGACACUUCACUGUUAGGAGCAUUCGCAUGUGUUGUAUUCCAAUUUUCAUUGUAAUUUCUUUUAAAAGUUGUUCAAACCCAUUGUAAAUUUGUAAUGAUUUUUAAUACUAUGGUUGGUGUUGUCUUU
Long non-coding RNA from Lactuca sativa (garden lettuce), 638 nucleotides. RefSeq lists it as uncharacterized. Lineage: Eukaryota; Viridiplantae; Streptophyta; Magnoliopsida; Asterales; Asteraceae. The record is from RefSeq and is a predicted model, not a curated record.